UACGGAGGAUCCAAGCGUUAUCCGGAUUUAUUGGGUUUAAAGGGUGCGUAGGCGGCCUGUUAAGUCAGGGGUGAAAGACGGUAGCUCAACUAUCGCAGUGCCCUUGAUACUGAUGGGCUUGAAUGGACUAGAGGUAGGCGGAAUGAGACAAGUAGCGGUGAAAAUGCAUAGAUAUGUCUCAGAACACCGAUUGCGAAGGCAGCUUACUAUGGUCUUAUUGACGCUGAGGCACGAAAGCGUGGGGAUCAAACAGG
RNAcentral lists this ribosomal RNA (254 nucleotides) under uncultured bacterium. Its description in RNAcentral is "partial 16S ribosomal RNA". It matches the Rfam family "Bacterial small subunit ribosomal RNA", at positions 524 to 776 of the family's 1533-position model. The record is from RNAcentral.